Molecule: ribosomal RNA, 468 nt
Filed under: uncultured bacterium
Lineage: Bacteria
Description: partial 16S ribosomal RNA
Rfam family: Bacterial small subunit ribosomal RNA
Source: RNAcentral
GACGAACGCUGGCGGCGUGCUUAACACAUGCAAGUCGAACGGAAAGGCCCUGCUUUUGUGGGGUGCUCGAGUGGCGAACGGGUGAGUAACACGUGAGUAACCUGCCCUUGACUUUGGGAUAACUUCAGGAAACUGGGGCUAAUACUGGAUAGGAGCUCCUGCUGCAUGGUGGGGGUUGGAAAGUUUCGGCGGUUGGGGAUGGACUCGCGGCUUAUCAGCUUGUUGGUGGGGUAGUGGCUUACCAAGGCUUUGACGGGUAGCCGGCCUGAGAGGGUGACCGGCCACAUUGGGACUGAGAUACGGCCCAGACUCCUACGGGAGGCAGCAGUGGGGAAUAUUGCACAAUGGGCGGAAGCCUGAUGCAGCAACGCCGCGUGCGGGAUGACGGCCCUCGGGUUGUAAACCGCUUUCGCCUGUGACGAAGCGUGAGUGACGGUAAUGGGUAAAGAAGCACCGGCUAACUACGUG